GACCGUACAAAGGUAGCAUAAUCAUUAGUUUAUUAAUUGUAAACUGGAAUGAAUGAUUGGACAAGAAAGAUACUGUUUCAGUUUUAUUAAUUGGAUUUUACUUGUUAGUGAGAAGGCUAACAUUUUUAUGAAAGACGAGAAGACCCUGUAGAGUUUUAUAUUAAAUUAAUUUUGGUUUGGUUGAUAUAUAUUUAUUAUUUAGUUGGGGUAAUUGUAGAAUAAAUAUUUAUUUAGCAUAUGGUACUUAAUAGUAGUUGAUUGACCUAUUAUAUAGGAAAUGGUUAAAUUACCUCAGGGAUAACAGCAUAAUUUAGUUUGGGAGUUCUUAUCUAUAAUUAAGUUUGUGACCUCGAUGUGA
Molecule: ribosomal RNA, 358 nt
Filed under: Zorotypus sp. 2 YM-2019
Lineage: Eukaryota; Metazoa; Arthropoda; Insecta; Zoraptera; Zorotypidae
Description: partial 16S ribosomal RNA
Source: RNAcentral